AUGGGAUUAACUCUUCCCAUGCAUAUAUGUAUAUAUAAAUAUUGCUGCUAUUUGAGCUCUGGAUUUUCUGGCCUUUGGUGCCUUUUCAAGUUCUAGUAGCAUAACAAAAAAGCAUAGUAAGUUAGAAAAUCUUUUUUAAGUCAGGGAAGCAGGAAUUCUUCAAGUUCUUGAACAAUUAACCUGCAAAAUUGUCUGAUUUUAGUAUGAGCAUGUUGAAUAUAAAUAGUUAAAUACAGAAACAAAAAAGCUAUCUCCUCUUGCUCUUCAGCUCACCAACGAAGAAGGGAGUGACAUGCCUUAGUAUCGAUACAGAUCAUCAAAGAUUGAAUAACUGUUACUAUUUAAGGUUUUUGCUUCCUAUUCAGCUGCCACUUCCUCAAGGAUAGAUUUUGUCUUACCUUUCCUGGCCUUUGGUGCCUUUUCAGCCUGCAAUGAGGAGAAGUCUCAAUUAUAAUUGAAGAAAUAAAAAAUGUUACAAUGAAAGUACUUGUUUGCCUUGCUUAUGAGAUUCUCAAAUGCUUCUGGCCCAUUCUCCUUAAUAAGUCUCUCUGCAGCUUGUAGGGCAUUGUCUGAUUUACCGACGAUGUCCUUUUUGCGUGGUACAUACCAGAUAUUAAUCUUUCUUGUGGUUAAUUUUGCUCCUGUAAGAUGGAUGUUGCAAUCUUUAAACCGUGGAUAAUAUAUGAAACACUAACUAAUUGCUGAUUGUUGAUAUAUAAAUUUAUGCUUGCAAAUUUAAACAUCACUCCCAAGCCCUUGUCACUUCUUGAGAGAGCCAUUUAUGCUUGCAAAUUCUCAGUGAACGUCAAUUAAAAAUGCAGGUGGAAAGCUUGUUUACCAAUACGCCAAGAAGAGGGCGAGUGAGCCAAAGUGCCUAGUAACAGGAAAAAGAAUUCAAGGAGGUACCUGUGGAUCCUCUUGAAUGGCAGAUUUCUCAGGAUGCAGCCAAUAGCAUUUUCGCCUGCCUGGCUAAUACAAUUGGGGCAGCUGAAUCUGUCUUGAGGGUCGCUCAAACAGGCCAUGACAAAAGGCUAUUCUUUAAGG
Dioscorea cayenensis subsp. rotundata (Guinea yam) is the source of this 1044-nucleotide long non-coding RNA. RefSeq lists it as uncharacterized. The transcript is spliced from 2 exons. Lineage: Eukaryota; Viridiplantae; Streptophyta; Magnoliopsida; Dioscoreales; Dioscoreaceae. The record is from RefSeq and is a predicted model, not a curated record.